GUCGUGGUGACUCGGAUCUGGCUCUCUCCGCAAGCGCCGCCCCGGGGCGCCUCCAGGGAUCUGGGAAAGAUUAUCUUUGCAGAAAUGGGCCCUGAUUCCCCUGAAGCAGAGAAGACUCCCUUGGACACCAGAGAGAGGCCACCAGGUGACAAAACGUUGCCGACCAAA
This is a long non-coding RNA of Lacerta agilis (Sand lizard), 168 nucleotides long. RefSeq lists it as uncharacterized. The record is from RefSeq and is a predicted model, not a curated record. NCBI's taxonomy places the organism in Eukaryota, Metazoa, Chordata, Lepidosauria, Squamata, Lacertidae. The transcript has 3 exons.